UUUCUUUGUACAGUUCUUUGGACUCUUUUAAAAGAGCUAUUGAAUGGAGCUGUCUGCUGGCUGGUGAGAUUGAUUGUUUGAACUGUGCCCCCCCUUCAAUAGCCCACCUCUGAUUAAGGGAGUCAGGUAUCUUGGUGCUGGCUGACAGUAUAACUCUUUAAGAUUUUUUUUUUCCAGGUCAGUUCCUGCCUGGUUUAUGUUGCCUCAGGACAGAAAAGCAGGCGUGAAGCUGGUCUUUAAAGAGGCAGCGGAGAAUUCCCCUAUCCGAAGAGACUCCCUAGUGAUGCCCAGAAUCUGGCCCCAAGACUGCACGACUGAGAAAGCAGUAGGCUCUGCAU
Long non-coding RNA from Alligator sinensis (Chinese alligator), 338 nucleotides. RefSeq lists it as uncharacterized. Lineage: Eukaryota; Metazoa; Chordata; Crocodylia; Alligatoridae. The record is from RefSeq and is a predicted model, not a curated record. The transcript is spliced from 5 exons.